AUAACCCUACAUGUUUUGGAGAUUUGCCCCAAUUUCAUUUUUUUCUGAUGUGAAAUUGAUGAAUUUAACAGAAAUUGUGUAUACCAGCUUGGGAGUGUGCAAUCACUUUUGCCUCUUCACAAUACAGUAGCAACUUGUAGAAUGGUGUCAAAUCUUAGCGUUGAUUCAAGGAAUUGUCAUGAUGUUUCACAGGUUACUCUUUCUUGCAACCAUCCUGGACCCUAGCCUUUCUUACUACUAUCAACUGUGAGAUUUUUGUUGAUGGGGUUUUGAGAAGUCAUAAAAUCAAUCCAAUAACAUGUACACAGUACAUGUGAUUGGAAGAGAGAAAACAAUUAUGUUGAUUUAGAGAUGAGUUUGGAAACCUUGUGUAUUAUUAUGAGUUUAGCCUCAAAUCAGAUACUGAAAUAGAGUUCAAUUAUUUCAUAUCAUUGGACACCGUAUAUUUUAA
Molecule: long non-coding RNA, 451 nt
Organism: Lathyrus oleraceus (garden pea)
Lineage: Eukaryota; Viridiplantae; Streptophyta; Magnoliopsida; Fabales; Fabaceae
Exons: 2
Source: RefSeq, a predicted model, not a curated record